GGGGGCGUCAGGGUUCGACAGAACACGACUGGCGCUCAGUGGCGAGCCGAGGUGCGGAGGGCCUCGUAAAAAAUCCGCAAACAAGAAGUGCGACUCCUAACUAUGCUCUUGCUGCCUAAUUGAAGGCAGCCGCCGCUCUCCUCGCGGUCGGUCCGAGGGGAGUUGAGCGUGGGCCAGACCGACUGGCUCCGAAGGCGGCGCCCAGCGCCGACGGAGGACACCCAACUGGGCUGGCGACGGGAUGCCCUGUCCGUCGGGACACCCGCCGCGAGACCUAAAGACGGACUACGCUCGUAGAAGCUGGGUGUGCAGGUGUUCUGGAAGGGGGUUCAAUUCCCCCCGCCUCCACCA
Non-coding RNA from Armatimonadetes bacterium DC, 351 nucleotides. Lineage: Bacteria; Bacillati; Armatimonadota. The record is from Rfam.